This 497-nucleotide ribosomal RNA is filed under the name uncultured bacterium. RNAcentral's name for it is "partial 16S ribosomal RNA". It matches the Rfam family "Bacterial small subunit ribosomal RNA", at positions 28 to 507 of the family's 1533-position model. The record is from RNAcentral.
GAUGAACGCUGGCGGCGUGCCUAAUACAUGCAAGUCGAGCGAACAGACGAGGAGCUUGCUCCUCUGACGUUAGCGGCGGACGGGUGAGUAACACGUGGAUAACCUACCUAUAAGACUGGGAUAACUUCGGGAAACCGGAGCUAAUACCGGAUAAUAUAUUGAACCGCAUGGUUCAAUAGUGAAAGACGGUUUUGCUGUCACUUAUAGAUGGAUCCGCGCCGCAUUAGCUAGUUGGUAAGGUAACGGCUUACCAAGGCAACGAUGCGUAGCCGACCUGAGAGGGUGAUCGGCCACACGGGAACUAAGACACGGUCCAGAAUCCUAAGGAAGGCAGAAGUAGGGAAUCUUCCGCAAUGGGCGAAGACUUGACGGAGCAACGCCGCGUGAGUGAGGAAGGUCUUAGGAUCUUAAAACUCUGUUAUUAGGGAAAAACAAAUGUGUAAGUAACUAUGCACGUCUUGACGGUACCUAAUCAGAAGGCCAGGGCUAACAACGUG